GAUGACCGCUAGCGGGAGGCCUAACACAUGCAAGUCGAGGGGUAACGGCAGUAGCUUGCUACUAGACGACGACCGGCGCACGGGUGAGUAACGCGUAUGUAAUCUGCCUUGUACAGAGGGAUAGCCCAGAGAAAUUUGGAUUAAUACCUCAUAGUAUUACUGAAUCGCAUGAUUUGGUAAUUAAAGCUCCGGCGGUACAAGAUGAACAUGCGUGACAUUAGNCUAGUUUGGUAAGGUAACGGCUUACCAAGGCCCACGAUGUCUAGGGGGUUCUGAGAGGAUGAUCCCCCACACUGGUACUGAGACACGGACCAGACUCCUUACGGGAGGGCAGCCAGUGAGGAAUAUUGGUCAAUGGACGCAAGUCUGAACCAGCCAUCCCGCGUGAAGGAUGACUGCCCUAUGGGUUGUAAACUUCUUUUAUAUGCAAAUAAACCUACUUUCGUGAAAGUAGCUGAAGGUAGCAUAUGAAUAAACACCGGCUAACUCCGUGCCAGCAGCCGCGGUAAUACGGAGGGUGUAAGCGUUAUCCGGAUUUAUUGGGUUAAAGGGUACGUA
RNAcentral lists this ribosomal RNA (558 nucleotides) under uncultured bacterium. RNAcentral describes it as "bacterial SSU rRNA". It matches the Rfam family "Bacterial small subunit ribosomal RNA", at positions 28 to 573 of the family's 1533-position model. The record is from RNAcentral.